ACCGCCAAACAAAGUACAACUCUCCGAGACUUCGGAGAGAGGAAAGUCCUGACAUCAUAACUCGGGAGGUAGCUCACGGCUACUGGACGGCUCACGCCCAAAGGAAAGUGCCACAGAAACGUAAACUAACUUCGUACACCUACGAGGUCAAAGAUGCAACGUGAAGAUGGAGCGUCAUAACUCCUACUUCUCCUCAGCUUAGUUGAUAACUAUGCGAGUGGUAAACCCCUUCCUGAUGCAAGCUUGCCCGCAAGGGAAGUGCAAGAAACUCUCAAGCAGAGUGCUAGAUAAAUCGUACUUGAAACACAGAAUCAGGCUUAUUGUUUGGCAAAUCUU
RNAcentral lists this RNase P RNA (336 nucleotides) under bacterium. Its description in RNAcentral is "RNase P RNA component class A". It matches the Rfam family "Bacterial RNase P class A". From Rfam's summary of the family: Ribonuclease P (RNase P) is a ubiquitous endoribonuclease, found in archaea, bacteria and eukarya as well as chloroplasts and mitochondria. Its best characterised activity is the generation of mature 5'-ends of tRNAs by cleaving the 5'-leader elements of precursor-tRNAs. The record is from RNAcentral.